CAACUGUUAGCUAAGAUAACACAGCAUACUCUUCAUGCAGGUGCAUGUAUCAAACACACCCUUUGUUUCAAGGUGGGCUUUUUAAACCGAUGCCCUGCCCACUGAAGGCUCCUUUGCUGCUACUGAAAUGUGUCGUCUAUAGUUUUGACAAAUGCUACACACAACAGUACUGUUGCUGUGGGGUGGCUUGUUAGAUGUUUGUGCUGCACACUGGCUAGAUUUAACAACCCUGUUGCUUAUCUGCUGGUCAUAUUAGGUGUAGGCCUCAAACACACUCUCUAAGCUUGAAGAUUUCCCAUUUGUUUGGGACCACAGAGACCCUAUCGGAAAGGUUCCAGAUGCAGGACAUCACUGCUUUACCUCGUUCAGGUAUGCAGGGCAGCUAUGACAUGAAGGAGGCUCAGAGAUCACACUGGGGUCACUCGAUUAUAAGAUUCCCAGCAGGCACAGACCAGCAAAGAUGGAGAAACCGGAAGGAAAGCAAUAAGAAAGCCAAAAGGAAAUGGAAGAGGUUUAAAGGGUGGGGUGGAUGAAAGCAGAAGAGGAGGUGGAGUAGAAAAUUGAACCAAGAUGAGAAAUGGCAAAGCAAUGACAAAUCAUUUCUCUGACGAUUGCUGUGGCUCAGACGGGAGUGAAAUUAGAAUAAUCUGGUUAAAUCUUGUGACAUAUCAACUAGCCUGCAAGACUGUGCUGAGUGCUGCAACCUGUUGUAAUGGAAGUGAACAUGCUGAGAUUAAAAGAGGAACUCGC
Long non-coding RNA from Scatophagus argus, 750 nucleotides. RefSeq lists it as uncharacterized. The record is from RefSeq and is a predicted model, not a curated record. NCBI's taxonomy places the organism in Eukaryota, Metazoa, Chordata, Actinopteri, Scatophagidae. The transcript has 3 exons.